This 440-nucleotide ribosomal RNA is filed under the name uncultured bacterium. RNAcentral describes it as "partial 16S ribosomal RNA". It matches the Rfam family "Bacterial small subunit ribosomal RNA", at positions 339 to 795 of the family's 1533-position model. The record is from RNAcentral.
CUACGGGGGGCUCCAGCAGGGAAUAUUGCACAAUGGACGGAAGUCUGAUGCAGCGACGCCGCGUGGAUGAUGAAGCCCCUCGGGUUGUAAAAUCCUUUUCAGGGGGACGAGGAAGGACGGUACCCUUGGAAUAAGCGUCGGCUAACUACGUGCCAGCAGCCGCGGUAAGACGUAGGACGCAAGCGUUAUCCGGAUUUACUGGGCGUAAAGCGUCUGUAGGCGGAAUGGUAAGUUGGACGUGAAAGCUCCGGGCUCAACCCGGAGAGGUCGUUCAAUACUGCCAAACUAGAGGGCAUCAGAGGAGCGUGGAAUUUCCGGUGUAGCGGUAAAAUGCGCAGAUAUCGGAAGGAACACCAAUGGCGAAGGCAGCGCUCUGGGAUGAACCUGACGCUAAGAGACGAAAGCUAGGGGAGCGAACAGGAUUAGAUACCCCGGUAGUC